AAGUCAUCAACAACAAAGUUG
RNAcentral lists this microRNA (21 nucleotides) under Sorghum bicolor (sorghum). RNAcentral describes it as "sbi-miR821d". Its record names the gene sbi-miR821d. Lineage: Eukaryota; Viridiplantae; Streptophyta; Magnoliopsida; Poales; Poaceae. The record is from miRBase by way of RNAcentral.